This 476-nucleotide ribosomal RNA is filed under the name uncultured bacterium. RNAcentral's name for it is "bacterial SSU rRNA". It matches the Rfam family "Bacterial small subunit ribosomal RNA", at positions 328 to 793 of the family's 1533-position model. The record is from RNAcentral.
UCAGUCGACUCCUACGGGGAGGCAGCAGUGGGGAAUAUUGCACAAUGGGGGAAACCCUGAUGCAGCCAUGCCGCGUGUGUGAAGAAGGCCUUCGGGUUGUAAAGCACUUUCAGUAGGGAGGAAGGUAGUGUAGUUAACACCUGCACUAUUUGACGUUACCUACAGAAGAAGCACCGGCUAACUCCGUGCCAGCAGCCGCGGUAAUACGGAGGGUGCGAGCGUUAAUCGGAAUUACUGGGCGUAAAGCGCAUGCAGGCGGCCUGUUAAGUCAGAUGUGAAAGCCCGGGGCUUAACCUCGGAAUUGCAUUUGAAACUGGCAGGCUAGAGUCUUGUAGAGGGGGGUAGGAAUUUCAGGUGUAGCGGUGAAAUGCGUAGAGAUCUGAAGGAAUACCAGUGGCGAAGGCGGCCCCCUCGGACAAAGACUGACGCUCAGAUGCGAAAGCGUGGGGAGCAAACAGGAUUAGAUACCCUGGUAG